This 265-nucleotide ribosomal RNA is filed under the name uncultured prokaryote. RNAcentral's name for it is "partial 16S ribosomal RNA". It matches the Rfam family "Bacterial small subunit ribosomal RNA", at positions 524 to 788 of the family's 1533-position model. The record is from RNAcentral.
UACGGAGGAUCCGAGCGUUAUCCGGAUUUAUUGGGUUUAAAGGGUGCGCAGGCGGAAGAUUAAGUCGGUGGUGAAAUUUUGCAGCUCGACUGUAAAAGUGCCUUCGAAACUGGUUUCCUUGAGUGUGGAUGAAGUAGGCGGAAUUUGUGGUGUAGCGGUGAAAUGCAUAGAUAUCACGAGGAACUCCGAUUGCGCAGGCAGCUUACUAAGCCAUAACUGACGCUCAGGCACGAAGGCGUGGGGAUCAAACAGGAUUAGAUACCCU